GGUAUAUGUAAAAUCCACCAUUCGGCAAUUAAACACUGCCAGACGACUCUUCCAUGAUCAAGUUGAAGUAGAACUUGACAGGGGAACAAAAGAUAACUGUUCCCGUUGAAUUGCAAAACUACUUUGUGCAAACAAAUUGUAAUUAAGUGCAGUUGGGUACACCUUUCUUUUAGGGUACACCAAUUUCAUGGAUUUGUAAAAACCUGUCAUUAAAUUACUGAAAUCAAUAGUAUUCCCACAAUGAAUGAGAAUUUAAAAAAUAUGAGUGAUCUUCAGCCACCAAAAAGGAAUCCAGCAGCUUGUUCUUCAUUCCCAUCAAAUAAUUUAAGAGCUUGUACCACAGAAUCCCUUCCAAAACCUAGCUCAACAAGCUUUGCAACUUUGGCCUCAAAAUCAGGUCUCAGUGUCACACUGCCUUGUGCAACUCCAGAAGAUUGACCUCCUGGUGCAUUAUUCUUCUUAUCUAUAGCUCCUGAUGUCACUGGAUUUCCUGAGCUGGACACUUCUUUGGCGAGGCUUUCUUCAUCCAGAAAAUGAGUUGGGAUGUCCUUUUCUUGCAAAAAUGGAACAGAAACUUCUCCACCCCCAACUCUCAAAACAUUCUCCUUCAAAUC
Molecule: unclassified non-coding RNA, 614 nt
Filed under: Hevea brasiliensis (rubber tree)
Lineage: Eukaryota; Viridiplantae; Streptophyta; Magnoliopsida; Malpighiales; Euphorbiaceae
Source: RNAcentral